GAGUUUGAUCCUGGCUCAGAUUGAACGCUGGCGGCAGGCCUAACACAUGCAAGUCGAACGGUAACAGGAAGAAGCUUGCUUCUUUGCUGACGAGUGGCGGACGGGUGAGUAAUUUCUGGGAAACUGCCUGAUGGAGGGGGAUAACUACUGGAAACGGUAGCUAAUACCGCAUAACGUCGCAAGACCAAAGAGGGGGACCUUCGGGCCUCCUGCCAUCGGAUGUGCCCAGAUGGGAUUAGCUUGUUGGUGGGGUAACGGCUCACCAAGGCGACGAUCCCUAGCUGGUCUGAGAGGAUGACCAGCCACACUGGAACUGAGACACGGUCCAGACUCCUACGGGAGGCAGCAGUGGGGAAUAUUGCACAAUGGGCGCAAGCCUGAUGCAGCCAUGCCGCGUGUAUGAAGAAGGCCUUCGGGUUGUAAAGUACUUUCAGCGGGGAGGAAGGGAGUAAAGUUAAUACCUUUGCUCAUUGACGUUACCCGCAGAAGAAGCACCGG
RNAcentral lists this ribosomal RNA (498 nucleotides) under uncultured bacterium. RNAcentral describes it as "bacterial SSU rRNA". It matches the Rfam family "Bacterial small subunit ribosomal RNA", at positions 9 to 496 of the family's 1533-position model. The record is from RNAcentral.